This 439-nucleotide ribosomal RNA is filed under the name uncultured bacterium. Its description in RNAcentral is "bacterial SSU rRNA". It matches the Rfam family "Bacterial small subunit ribosomal RNA", at positions 954 to 1398 of the family's 1533-position model. The record is from RNAcentral.
UGGGAACGCGAAGAACCUUACCUAGACUUGACAUCUCCUGAAUUACCCUUAAUCGGGGAAGCCCUUCGGGGCAGGAAGACAGGUGGUGCAUGGUUGUCGUCAGCUCGUGUCGUGAGAUGUUGGGUUAAGUCCCGCAACGAGCGCAACCCUUAUUGUUAGUUGCUACCAUUUAGUUGAGCACUCUAGCGAGACUGCCCGGGGUUAACCGGGAGGAAGGUGGGGAUGACGUCAAAUCAUCAUGCCCCUUAUGUCUAGGGCUACACACGUGCUACAAUGGCUGGUACAGAGAGAUGCUAAACCGCGAGGUGAAGCCAAACUUUAAAACCAGUCUCAGUUCGGAUUGUAGGCUGAAACUCGCCUACAUGAAGCUGGAGUUGCUAGUAAUCGCGAAUCAGAAUGUCGCGGUGAAUACGUUCCCGGGUCUUGUACACACCGGGUC